Molecule: ribosomal RNA, 231 nt
Filed under: uncultured bacterium
Lineage: Bacteria
Description: partial 16S ribosomal RNA
Rfam family: Bacterial small subunit ribosomal RNA
Source: RNAcentral
CCCUAAAAAACCGAAUCUCAGUUCGGAUUGAAGUCUGAAAUUCGACUUCAUGAAGCUGGAAUUGCUAGUAAUGGCAGGUCAGCAUACUGCCGUGAAUACGUUCCCGGGCCUUGUACACACCGCCCGUCACACCAUGAGAGUUGGGAAUACCCGAAGCCUGUGAGCUAACUGUAAAGAGGCAGCAGUCGAAGGUAGAAUCAAUGAUUGGGGGUGAAGUCGUAACAAGGUAGC